GAUGAAGAACGUAGCGAAAUGCGAUAAGUAGUGUGAAUUGCAGAAUUCAGUGAAUCAUCGAAUCUUCGAACGCACAUUGCGCCCCUUGGUAUUCCAUGGGGCAUGCUUGUUCGAGCGUCAUUUGUACUCUCAAGCUCUGCUUGGUGUUGGGUGUUUGUCCUUUCCCUGCGUUAGGACUCGCCUCAAAUUCAUUGGCAGCCGAUAUAUUGGUUUGAAGCGCAGCACAAUUUGCGAUUCGGGCUGGUUAUUGUUGGCGUCCAGUAAGCACAUUUAACACUUUUGACCUCGGAUCAAGUAGGGAUACCCGCUGAACUUAAGCAUAUCAAUAAGCGGAGGA
RNAcentral lists this unclassified non-coding RNA (337 nucleotides) under soil metagenome. RNAcentral's name for it is "partial contains 5.8S ribosomal RNA, internal transcribed spacer 2, and large subunit ribosomal RNA". The stretch from base 1 to 120 matches the Rfam family "5.8S ribosomal RNA", at positions 35 to 154 of the family's 154-position model. The record is from RNAcentral.